RNAcentral lists this transfer RNA (72 nucleotides) under Bos taurus (domestic cattle). It matches the Rfam family "tRNA". From Rfam's summary of the family: Transfer RNA (tRNA) molecules are approximately 80 nucleotides in length. Their secondary structure includes four short double-helical elements and three loops (D, anti-codon, and T loops). RNAcentral also lists the same sequence under 5 other names. Lineage: Eukaryota; Metazoa; Chordata; Mammalia; Artiodactyla; Bovidae. The record is from Rfam by way of RNAcentral.
UCUCUGGUGGCUCAGUGGUAAAGAGUCUGCCUUCUAAGGCAGGAGACACAGGUUCGAUCCCUGGUCUGGGAA